RNAcentral lists this ribosomal RNA (506 nucleotides) under uncultured bacterium. Its description in RNAcentral is "partial 16S ribosomal RNA". It matches the Rfam family "Bacterial small subunit ribosomal RNA", at positions 30 to 523 of the family's 1533-position model. The record is from RNAcentral.
AUUGAACGCUGGCGGCAGGCCUAACACAUGCAAGUCGAACGGUAGCACAGAGGAGCUUGCUCCUUGGGUGACGAGUGGCGGACGGGUGAGUAAUGUCUGGGAAACUGCCCGAUGGAGGGGGAUAACUACUGGAAACGGUAGCUAAUACCGCAUAACGUCUUCGGACCAAAGUGGGGGACCUUCGGGCCUCACACCAGCGGAUGUGCCCAGAUGGGAUUAGCUAGUAGGUGGGGUAAUGGCUCACCUAGGCGACGAUCCCUAGCUGGUCUGAGAGGAUGACCAGCCACACUGGAACUGAGACACGGUCCAGACUCCUACGGGAGGCAGCAGUGGGGAAUAUUGCGCAAUGGGCGCAAGCCUGAUGCAGCCAUGCCGCGUGUAUGAAGAAGGCCUUCGGGUUGUAAAGUACUUUCAGCGGGGAGGAAGGCGUUAAGGUUAAUAACCUUGGCGAUUGACGUUACCCGCAGAAGAAGCACCGGCUAACUCCGUGCCAGCAGCCGCGGUAA